RNAcentral lists this ribosomal RNA (292 nucleotides) under uncultured bacterium. RNAcentral describes it as "partial 16S ribosomal RNA". It matches the Rfam family "Bacterial small subunit ribosomal RNA", at positions 505 to 796 of the family's 1533-position model. The record is from RNAcentral.
GUGCCAGCCGCCGCGGUAAUACGGAGGGGGCAAGCGUUAUUCGGAAUCAUUGGGCGUAAAGGGCGCGUAGGCGGCCUGGCAAGUCAAAGGUGAAAUCCCUCGGCCUAACCGAGGAACUGCCUUUGAAACUGCAAGGCUCGAGGCCGGGAGAGGGUAGCGGAAUUCCCAGUGUAGCGGUGAAAUGCGUAGAUAUUGGGAGGAACACCAGUGGCGAAGGCGGCUACCUGGACCGGUUCUGACGCUGAUGCGCGAAAGCGUGGGGAGCAAACAGGAUUAGAAACCCUUGUAGUCC